Molecule: ribosomal RNA, 428 nt
Filed under: uncultured bacterium
Lineage: Bacteria
Description: bacterial SSU rRNA
Rfam family: Bacterial small subunit ribosomal RNA
Source: RNAcentral
UAGGGAAUAUUGCGCAAUGGGCGAAGCCUGACGCAGCAACGCCGCGUGAAGGAUGAAGGCCUUCGGGUCGUAAACUUCUGUCAAAUGGGAAGAAGGUUUGUAGGUUAAGAGCUAGUGAACUUGACGGUACCAUCAGAGGAAGUCCCGGCUAACUCCGUGCCAGCAGCCGCGGUAAUACGGAGGGGACAAGCGUUAUUCGGAUUUAUUGGGCGUAAAGGGCGCGUAGGCGGCUUGAUAAGUCAAAGGUGAAAUCCCUCGGCUCAACCGGGGAACUGCCUUUGAAACUGUCUGGCUAGAGUUCGGGAGAGGGUAGGGGAAUUCCUAGUGUAGCGGUGAAAUGCGUAGAUAUUAGGAGGAACACCAGUGGCGAAGGCGCCUACCUGGACCGAUACUGACGCUGAGGUGCGAAAGCGUGGGGAGCAAACAGG